This 73-nucleotide transfer RNA is filed under the name Burkholderia pseudomallei. RNAcentral describes it as "tRNA-Stop(tta)". Lineage: Bacteria; Pseudomonadati; Pseudomonadota; Betaproteobacteria; Burkholderiales; Burkholderiaceae. The record is from RNAcentral.
CCGCGCAUGGCGGCCGCGGCAGGCCGCGCGGCGUUUAGCGUCGCGCGGCCCGAUCGAUUCGAGCCGCGCCGCC